RNAcentral lists this ribosomal RNA (385 nucleotides) under uncultured bacterium. Its description in RNAcentral is "bacterial SSU rRNA". It matches the Rfam family "Bacterial small subunit ribosomal RNA", at positions 28 to 416 of the family's 1533-position model. The record is from RNAcentral.
GACGAACGCUGGCGGCGUGCUUAACACAUGCAAGUCGAGCGGUAAGGCCCUUCGGGUACGACGAGCGGCGAACGGGUGAGUAACACGUGGGUGACCUGCCUCUAGCUCUGGGAUAAGCCUGGGAAACUGGGUCUAAUACCGGAUAUGACUCCACGGCGCAUGUUGUGGGGUGGAAAGCCUUGUGCGGCUAGAGAUGGGCCCGCGGCCUAUCAGCUUGUUGGUGGGGUGAUGGCCUACCAAGGCGACGACGGGUAGCCGGCCUGAGAGGGCGACCGGCCACACUGGGACUGAGACACGGCCCAGACUCCUACGGGAGGCAGCAGUGGGGAAUUUUGGACAAUGGGCGAAAGCCUGAUCCAGCCAUGCCGCGUGUGUGAAGAAGGCC